RNAcentral lists this long non-coding RNA (558 nucleotides) under Brassica rapa (field mustard). Its description in RNAcentral is "long non-coding RNA (BRAP_LNC007308)". The record is from RNAcentral. Lineage: Eukaryota; Viridiplantae; Streptophyta; Magnoliopsida; Brassicales; Brassicaceae.
CUAUGAAGCACCGGGACGGCAUAUGCUUGACGUCUCCCGUACCAGCUGCGUUUCCGGGACGGGGACGGCGCGGGGACGGCGUGGGGACGUUUCCAAAACGUUUCAGAAGAGGUGGGGACGGCAGAGAUUUUUGGGGACGGCUUGGUUAGGUUCCGGGGACGUUUCCUAAACGUUUCUUAUGUAAAGUCCGUAUAGUUUUGUAAAAAUUGAUUAUUUACCUUUUUUUUGAUGUUUUUUAGUUUUGUAAAACAAUUGAAAAAAGGAAACACGUACUUAUAUAAACAAUUAGGGUUACAAAGUUUAUCAUCAUCUCUUAAACUUAAACAACUUCUUAUUCAGUUAUUCACUUCAUCUUCUUUCUCUCAAUUGAUUCACGUCAAAGGAAACACAUUAAGUAUGAUUACAAAUCCUGUUUUUUGGUUUGUCAAUUCUCACGUAAAAGUAGAUAGUAUUAGAUAGUAUUGGUUUGCUAUGGUUUGUUUCACCACGUACGUAUCUGUGAUUUUAGCUUGUAGUAAAAGUAUACGUGCGGUGCAGGAAAACAAAACUCUGUUUUUU